This 582-nucleotide ribosomal RNA is filed under the name Priestia megaterium. RNAcentral describes it as "bacterial SSU rRNA". It matches the Rfam family "Bacterial small subunit ribosomal RNA", at positions 95 to 663 of the family's 1533-position model. The record is from RNAcentral. Lineage: Bacteria; Bacillati; Bacillota; Bacilli; Caryophanales; Bacillaceae.
GCGGCGGACGGGUGAGUAACACGUGGGCAACCUGCCUGUAAGACUGGGAUAACUUCGGGAAACCGAAGCUAAUACCGGAUAGGAUCUUCUCCUUCAUGGGAGAUGAUUGAAAGAUGGUUUCGGCUAUCACUUACAGAUGGGCCCGCGGUGCAUUAGCUAGUUGGUGAGGUAACGGCUCACCAAGGCAACGAUGCAUAGCCGACCUGAGAGGGUGAUCGGCCACACUGGGACUGAGACACGGCCCAGACUCCUACGGGAGGCAGCAGUAGGGAAUCUUCCGCAAUGGACGAAAGUCUGACGGAGCAACGCCGCGUGAGUGAUGAAGGCUUUCGGGUCGUAAAACUCUGUUGUUAGGGAAGAACAAGUACGAGAGUAACUGCUUGUACCUUGACGGUACCUAACCAGAAAGCCACGGCUAACUACGUGCCAGCAGCCGCGGUAAUACGUAGGUGGCAAGCGUUAUCCGGAAUUAUUGGGCGUAAAGCGCGCGCAGGCGGUUUCUUAAGUCUGAUGUGAAAGCCCACGGCUCAACCGUGGAGGGUCAUUGGAAACUGGGGAACUUGAGUGCAGAAGAGAAAGCGG